ACUUUUCUAGUACAACUAAAUACAAGUGACUUCCACUCACUAAAUCUUAACACCUACCUUAAGGAAAAGUA
RNAcentral lists this transfer RNA (71 nucleotides) under Polychrus marmoratus (common monkey lizard). Its description in RNAcentral is "tRNA-Gly". Lineage: Eukaryota; Metazoa; Chordata; Lepidosauria; Squamata; Polychrotidae. The record is from RNAcentral.